This is an RNA transcript of Myotis daubentonii (Daubenton's bat), 12452 nucleotides long. It is a transcript of the gene named heterogeneous nuclear ribonucleoprotein A3, with no coding region annotated. Lineage: Eukaryota; Metazoa; Chordata; Mammalia; Chiroptera; Vespertilionidae. The record is from RefSeq and is a predicted model, not a curated record. The transcript is spliced from 13 exons.
AAAGCGCGUCACGUGACGGCUGGCCCCGCCUCUUCCUCUCGGUCCCAUAUUGAACUCGAGUUGGAAGAGGCGAGUCCGGUCUCAAAAUGGAGGUAAAACCGCCGCCCGGUCGCCCCCAGCCCGACUCCGGCCGUCGCCGCCGCCGCCGGGGGGAGGAGGGCCAUGAUCCUAAGGAACCAGAGCAGUUGAGAAAACUGUUCAUUGGUGGUCUGAGCUUUGAAACUACAGAUGACAGUUUAAGAGAACAUUUUGAGAAAUGGGGCACACUCACAGAUUGUGUGGUGAUGAGAGACCCCCAAACAAAACGUUCCCGGGGCUUUGGUUUUGUGACUUACUCUUGUGUUGAAGAGGUGGAUGCAGCAAUGUGUGCUCGACCACACAAGGUUGAUGGGCGUGUAGUGGAACCAAAGAGAGCUGUUUCUAGAGAGGAUUCUGUAAAGCCUGGUGCCCAUCUAACAGUGAAGAAAAUUUUUGUUGGUGGUAUUAAAGAAGAUACAGAAGAAUAUAAUUUGAGAGACUACUUUGAAAAGUAUGGCAAAAUUGAAACCAUUGAAGUUAUGGAGGACAGGCAGAGUGGGAAAAAAAGAGGAUUUGCUUUUGUAACUUUUGAUGAUCAUGAUACAGUUGAUAAAAUUGUUGUUCAGAAAUACCACACUAUUAAUGGGCAUAAUUGUGAAGUGAAAAAGGCCCUUUCCAAACAAGAAAUGCAGUCUGCUGGAUCACAAAGAGGCCGUGGAGGUGGAUCUGGCAAUUUCAUGGGUCGGGGAGGAAACUUUGGAGGUGGUGGAGGUAACUUUGGCCGUGGUGGAAACUUUGGUGGAAGAGGAGGCUACGGUGGUGGAGGUGGCAGCAGAGGUAGUUAUGGAGGAGGUGAUGGUGGAUAUAAUGGAUUUGGAGGUGAUGGUGGCAACUAUGGCGGUGGUCCUGGUUAUAGUAGUAGAGGAGGCUAUGGUGGUGGUGGUGGUGGACCAGGAUAUGGAAACCAAGGUGGUGGAUAUGGUGGCGGUGGUGGAUACGAUGGUUACAAUGAAGGGGGAAAUUUUGGCGGUAACUAUGGUGGAGGUGGAAACUAUAAUGAUUUUGGAAAUUACAGUGGACAACAGCAAUCAAAUUAUGGACCCAUGAAGGGGGGCAGUUUUGGUGGAAGAAGCUCGGGCAGCCCCUAUGGUGGUGGUUAUGGAUCUGGUGGUGGAAGUGGUGGAUAUGGUAGCAGAAGGUUCUAAAACUCAGCAGAAAAGGAAGCUACUCAAGUAUUUUUGAGCAAAACCGGAUGGAACAUGAAUCCUAUCCUACCACAUUAGGGUAUACACCAAAUGAAAAGCUAUAGCCUACAAAAACAACUGAAGGCAUGCCUGAAUUUUGCAGAAUUUGUAAAACAAGAAAGUUCUCCUUGAUUCAAAAGGCUAUUCUUUACAGUUAUAAUACUUACUAAAUAAAGUAAAAUGACACCAAGCAAGUGUAUUUUUAAAAUAUACCUAUCUCGCUGAUGACCAUUAUGCUUUAUAAAUAUUUAUCUAUCCGUUUACUUCUCUUUGCUUCUCUCCCACUGUUUCAUUACAAAGUACACAACACAAUGCCAAUCAUUUUCUCCAUGAGAAUUCUAGAGAGGGCAGAUGACAGCUUACUCUUUAUAGUUAUCCAACAUUCAAGUACUUUCAGUUCUACUGGAUUUAUUUGCUUAACUUUUGCACAUAUUGUUUCAAUAAUUGUGAACUAGGUGAUUAAAAACAAAAAAAUCAUGGGGGGAUGUGGGAGAGGGUAUAGGGGGAAUAAAUGGUGGUAGAAGGAGACUUGACUUGGAGUGGUGAACACACAAUACAAUGUACAGAUGAUGUGUUGUGGAAUUAUGCAGCUGAAACCUGCAUAAUUUUGUUAACCAGCAUCACCCCAAUAAAUUAAAAAAACUAGGAUUGCUUGGCCAAUGUGGUUCAGUGGUUAAACAUUGACCCAUGCAUGAAGAGGUCACCAGUUCAUUCCUGGUCAGGGCACAUGCCUGCUGCAGGUUCGGUCCCCAGUAGGCGUGCAGGAAGCAGCUGCUUGAUGUUUCUUUCUCAUUGAUGUUUCUAUUUCUCCCUCUCCCUUCUCUAAAAAUCAAUAAUAAAAACACAUUUUAAAAAUAAAUAAACUAAGAAAUCUCCCCGAUUCCCCCCCUCUCACCCUUCCCCCCCAAAAAAUAUAGAGUACAAAUGUUGUCGAUGGAAAGACCUUCCGACCAUCUAGGUCAAAUGUAAAUGUCACCAGGUUUGUUUCUGUGUAAUUACAGCUCCAUUUUAAAAAAUAACUGACCUAGCAACUAGUUAUGUAUGUCAACAGAGACUUCUAAUGUAGUAAAAGUUACCACUAAUCCAAGUUUUCCUUCUAGAUAAGUCUAAGGAUUAUUUCCCUAACCUUCAACAACUAGAGAUUUUUAACAGCAUAAAAAUUCUCAAACAUACCAAGGAAACGAAUUAUUCAACAAAUGAAAACCCUAUAUCACAAAUUUGCUAUUCCCUGGUUGUAAACCAUCCUGCUGCCCUUUUGUUUUUCAACAAGAAUCCUCCGUCUGACAUGUUACUCUGUACACUUUCAUGGGCUGCUUCCUGUUCAAAAACAAGUUUCUUAGCAAUGAUUCAAUCCAAGAAAUAUGAUACCGCCAGUUUACUGGAACUCGCCCAUUACAUUUGUCUGCAAACUGCAAAGCCUGAUGCAAAGAUAAAGCAAGACUGGAAAGUGACUCAGAAUAGGAACUUGGAUUAUUUAUUUUCCCAAGACACACACAGGUAGUGAGCCCAAAAUAAAUCAGAAAGUUACUUUCCAAAAUAGUAGGCGAUCCCACUUGCGACCAAAAGUGCAUGGAUCUGACGUUUCUAUUAGAAUCCAGGUAUGAGAAGUUUCAUACCUGUAUUCUAAUAGAGCAGUGAUUUUCAAUCUCUUUCGUCUUAUGGCACACAUAAAUUAAUUACUAAAAUUCUGUGGCACGUCCAAAAAUAGACUUUUUGGCAAUCUUACAAAAAUAAUAGGUAUAAUUUAGAUUCAUUCAUACCAGACAGCUAUUGUUGUGUUGGCUGUUAUCUAUUUUUAAUUUGACAAUUUAAGGGAAAAGAGGCCAGUUCCCAUGACUAAAUAGUCAGGUAUUGAAUGUUUUAAAAAUUAUUGCGGCACACUGGUUGAAAAUCACUGCAAUAGAGCCAUUUCUUGUUGGUUAGUAUCUAUCUCAGCAGGAUACUGCUGCUAGCUCUCAAGGGAUUUAUGUAUGGGUUAUCACUACAGUAAAACCUCGAAAUAAUGGACUGAAUAAUUCAGGGGAGGGGAAGUCCAUUAAAGCCGAAAGUCUGUUAUAUAAUAAAGUAGGUUCUUCGAAUGUGUAUGUUAAAAAAAUUGACAAAUUUGUGUACCUGUUUUUACUUAUGUAGACAUAUUUGUAUAAUUAAAAUCAAUUAUGUAUGAAAAGUUUAAUUUCAUAGAAAAGUUUUCUAUAUGUAUUACAGUAAUGUCAAAUUUAUACUGAAUAGGUCUAGUAAAUGCAUGCAUUCACCAGUCACCAGGAGUAAACAUAUGCACCUGGCUGGGGCUCGGCUUAGUGCAAGUUGGAAUAUUGGCUGGCACUCGGCUGGCAGUGGUUAAAACUGCUGCAGAAAAUCAUACCACAUGACAAUGGAACCAAUUACUGCCCUCAAUUCAGUGUAAUCACGUGUUAAUCAUUUGCAGAACAUUGUUUAGGAGUGGGGACUCUUGGAUUUAAAUAUGUAGACUACAGUUGUAGAUAUGUAAUAUUUAUUUAUGCCGGUAAAAUUACUAUAGUGUUUUUUUCCAACAUAUGGCCUAUUUGCUAAAAUUUGUUAAAAAUAACAGUGAAUAACAAAAAACCUGUUAAUUUAUUAUAAGCAAAUCUUGUUUAAAAGCAUUUUAAAAUUAACAGGGUGUUGCCCAGCCAGCGUAUCUCAGUGGUUGAGUGUUAACCUAUGAAUCAGGAGGUCAUGGUUGGUUUGAUUCCCGGUCAGGGCACAUCAUGCCUGGGUUGCAGCUCGAUCCUCAGUGUGGGGCAUGCAGGAGGCAGCUGAUCAAUGAUUCUCUCUCAUUGAUGUUUCUAUCUCUCUCUCCCUUUCCCUUCCUCUCUAAAAUCAAUAACAAUAUAUUUAAAAAAAAUUAACGGUGUUAAUUUUCACAUAUGACAUACAGGCCGGAAAUUUUGUCUCAUAUCUGUUGAAGUCCACAAAAGGUUUUACUGUACUUUGCCAAGAGAAUGACUUGGUUUGAUAAGCAAAUUUUAGGAUAAAUUUUUCUAAUCUCUUCCCCACUUCUGAAUAAGCCAUAUAUGUAUUCAGUUCUGGAUGCUGUCCUCCACAUAAGGAGCCUUUGAGAGUAGGUCUUCCAUUACUCUUAGAAUGAUUCUCCAGGGAAACACACACGCACAGGCACCCACCAUUAUUAGCACCAGAAUCUUCAGGAGCAUUGGGUCUAACUCCCUAACCUACUUUAACUUAUGUACACCGACAUUAAGUGGGUGUGGACUAAUGAGGUGACUCACAUAUCCACUUUGGGCCAAACAGCCCUACAUGGCGACCUUGUGUGCCCUCCUCUACAGGGCACCCCCCUACCCCCGUGAGGGAGGGCAGUACUCCAGCAUGCUCAAACACUUCUAAACUCCGAGUGAUCCUUUAUCUAAUUUGGGUAAUGAAUAUGUAGAAAGCAAUUAUUUCAAUCUUAAAGCUCCUUUUUCAGAUUUAACUGCCUAAAAUUAGCUCUUUUUCUAAAAAUUUAAAUUCUUUAUUGUAGCUUUUUCCCCCCAAGAUAUAUUUCUUAUUGAUUUCAGAGAGGAAGGGAGGAGAGAGAGAUAGAAACAUCAAUAAUGAAAGAGAAUCAUUGAUUGUCUGCCUCCUGCAUGCCCCCUACUGGGGAUCAAGCCCACAGCCUGGGCAUAUUCCCUUGACCAGAACUGAACCAGGGACCCUUCAGUCUGCAGGCUGAUGCUCUAUCCACUGAGCCAAACUAGCUAGGGCUACAAUUACCUUAAAAAAAAAAAAAAAGAAAUAGGACAGUCAUCCAGGCUUAGGGGACAAGUAAGCACUAUAUGAAGUUUGUUGCUGUUAGCCAAAGACUUGUGUGCCCGUGGUGGUGCUAAACACUGCUAUCGAUGAUGAUUUUUAAAUAUGUAUAUUAUAUAUUGUAAUAUAGAGCGAGCCUAUUUAAAAUACUUAGCUUCCUUUUUUAAAAAAAACUGCAGGUCCUGUUAAAAUAUGUUCCAAGGGGUUUAAUUUUCUUAGUGUGAACUUUUAAAACUAAAAAUUAUUUCUUGAAAUAAUAAGCUAUUAAUGGCUAAAAUUUCAUUUUACCAGAAUGGUGGUAGUUACAAUAAAGGUGGUGAUCAAGAUCAACAAGAUUAGUAUACAUAUAACCAUAAAUGGAUCAUUAAUCCAUCUACCCAUCUAAUACAUAUGUAGAAAUCACCUCUCAGGUGCCAGGAACUGUUCGAGGUGCCGGGGACACAGAUGAAAAAUGGUCUCUGAUCUUAGUUUUGAGAGAUGAUGAGAAACUGUUAAGAGAUAAGGCAUCACUAAACUGCACAGAAAGACGGCACAUGGGUGUGACAACUGACAAAGUACAGCAGUCACAACCAUAUGAGCAUCCUACCCAGUAAACCAAGGGUUAAGCCUGGUUUUCCAAAGGUCUAGUGCAAGCCAACAUCUAAUAGCAAAGGAGGUUACAGAGGUUGAGAGAACACAAAACAAUGAAUACGUCCCCACUGUAUGCAUUCUUGGAGGCAGUAUUUUCCUCACAGAGGCCUGAUUUCCAGUGCAAGGAAAAUUCUCAUAUGCAAAGACACUUCCUCCUGGCAUUUGGAAUUUUCAGUCAGUAUGAAUCAUCUCAGCCAAGAUGGGAAUUACUGCUAAUGCCACAGUCACCAAAUGCUACAAGUAGAAGGGACCAGCGGACCCACACAGGCAGCCCUUUCAUUUUUCAAAUAGGGAAACAGGUCUAGAGGGUGCAAUUACUUGUGCCAAGAGGUCUGAGAUCAAGGAUUUCAAAAUUACCUUUGGUCUACUUUCCUGCUUUUACAACUCAUGCCAAGUUAUUUGGCAGAGGGAAAAAGAUAUGUUUUUGAAUUAGCAUCUCUUGGUCCAGCUUGCCAGCCUCUGGGUACCUAACAGCCUCUAUUACAGCUGGUGUUGCAUGGCUUACAGCAUGUUCUUGGGCCGUCCCUAUCUCAUUUGAGCCUCACUGAAGUAGCAUGAGGGAAGGUGCUUUAUUUUUAUUUAUGGAUGAGCACAUUUAGGCUUUGGGCAUUGAGCAGCCUUGCCUGGAAUCACAUGUCCAGCAACUAGCAGAGCCAGGAUUUAAUCCAGAACUGUUUCUGAGCCUGGCAGGUUCUUCUCAUGCUGUGCUGCUGAUCUCGGUAUUCACACAACAGGACAAGGGUUGAAAACUGGUUUAGCUCCAGUACCCUCUCUCCAAAGCACAACACUAAGACUUGGAAGGCAGCCCUCUUGACACUCAGACCUGACUGCCCUGAAGACUUAUGGGUAAAUCAGGUCAACGUAACUGAAUAAGGAGAGCUUAGCAUAUAUUAAUCCUUCCACAAAGCCAGUAUUUUAUACUUUACAUGUCUUAUCUGGGCUUUCUUACAAUGGUCUUACUAAGCUGUAAACUCCUGGCUUUGUCGUCUGUAAAAUGAUAUUUAUUAUUCAUAUGUACUAUAAUAAUAUUAUUUAACAUAAUUAUGUAAUAGCCCCUUGUUGGGUUUUUAAGUUAUUCCUAAUCUUUUGCUAUUACAAAUAAUACUAUAAUGAGUAUCCUAUACAUAAAUCAUUUAAUAAUGUGUGAGGAUACCUGUAGGAUAAAUAUGUAGAGAUAGAAUCAUUAUGUCAAAGAGUAUAUGCAUUUUAAACUAUGAUGGGUACUGCCAAAUACCUCUACACAGAGGUUGUACCUUUUACACUCUCACCAGCCAUGUGUGAAAGUGCCCAUUCCCCAACUUAUGUGUCCUUUACACCUUACAUCAUAUUGGCACAUGGUACCCACUCAAUAAAUACAUAUUAACUGUUUGUAAAGAUCUCCUAUGUUAAUUCCAGAAUCAUUUCAAAAUUAGCCCUUCCCACUAUCUUUUAACAAUAAAAUUAAGGCUAAAGAAGAGAAUAAACCUCACAUACAGAAAUGUCAAUUGGCCAGAGGACAGCAUUCUUUAACCACCAGUCCAUGCCCAGCCUCGCUCUAGCCAAGCUAAGUUUGGUUGGUGACUUUGGAGCUGGUAGAACAGUGGCAAGGACAAGAAACGUAGAGGCCAUGGUGCACACAGAUAAGAGAGAAGAUGGACAAAGUCUCAAUAGGUGAAACAAUCAUAACAGGCAAAAUCAGCAACUUCAGCCCUUCUAACAGAUAAGGUAAACUUCAAAGAAAAAGCAAGUCCAGCCAGGAUGACCCAUUUACCAACUCAUUAAAGAGCCAUUCUUUCUAGGGAAGUGUUUCUCAGGAACAGAUGUUUGUUGGCCAUUAAAUUACAUUUAGAAUGCAUAACUGACUAAGGAGAGCUGACAGUAAUCUUGGAGAUCAUAGUCCAAAGCCCAGGUUUAUGAAUGAGGAUCCUGAGGCCCAAAGAUGCUAAAUGGGUAACCAGCCCUGGGUCUCAUCUGACUGAGCAGAACCCAGGAAGGGUCAUCUGGUCAACCCAAUACAAAUUAGAUUUUAAACUAGACUUUCCUAUUACAAUUUCUAUUAAUUAAAGAUUCAUGAACUAUUAGGAAUUACUCUGAAAACAUACCUUUACAAACUGUUACAUAGGAUUUGAUCCUGCAGCCAAAUUACUGGCCUAUAAAACUCUGUUAUUAGGAGAAACCGACCAAUGUUUGACCCUCACUUUUCUGUAGAAAACUUUCCUUCCCACACCCCCAAGCUCAAUACAAUCUGGCGAAGAGCCUUGCAGCUCUAAGCCCCUUCAGGUCUCUCUGGUACCAAGAGCAAAAAUGGUUCAAAAUUAAUGUGGAGCCCUAAGAACUCCCAAAUCAUGAGGUCAAGGCCAUGUACCCACUAAAUGCACAUUCCAAAUGGACUCAUCCAAAGGAUCACUAAGACCCGGGAACAGUUCUAUGUCUCCCUGGAGAAUGAAAGCCCUUGGAGACAUCAACCCUUACAUCCGUAGUGCUUUAAGACCACAAAGCACUUGCAUGAUGAUGUGGCAUUUGUAGCAGAAGCAGCCCUCUAAAUCUGAUGGACAAACCCAUAAAUCAAAUCACCACUUAGUAUGUCAUAAUGCCUGCCUCUGCUUCUCCUCAAAAUAUAAGUCAGAUUCUGGUUUGCUCUAAGAGUGUUCACUGUAGUUGUUGUGUUUCCUUUAAAAUCAGUUUUGCUACAUGCCUAGGAAAACAAUAGCAUAAAACAGGCUUAACGCUUUUACCAAAUGUUCUCAAUCUAACUGAAUAGUAAACACAUGAAGUCAAGCCCUUAGUCUUCUCAAGGACAAAAGCUGUGGGUUUAUCUGCUUUGAAAUCUGUGGCUUAAAAGGACUUAGGUUAAAAUCUAAAAGACAGCCCUGACCGGUUUGGCUCAGUGGAUAAGGCAUUGGCCUGAGGACUGAAGGGUCCCAGGUUCAAUUCCGGUCAAGGGCACAACCUUCGUUGCGGGCACAUCCCCAGUAGGGGGUGUGCAGGAGGCAGCUGAUCGAUGUUUCUCUCUCAUCGAUGUUUCUAAUACUCUAUCCCUCUCCCUUCCUCUCUAUAAAAAAAUCAAUGAAAUAUAUUUUUUUAAAAAAUCUGCAAGACAGUUGUAUGGAGUGUUCUAAAGUAAAUGCUCACACAAAGUGUGGGAAUUAUUUUUGCCUUAUCAAUAUUCCCCAUGAAAGUAUCAUUAUUCUGCCCAACAAAAAUACAUGUCAAACACAUGUUCACUGCUCACUGGUAGGCACAGCACAAAAAGUUCUUUGUACUUACCAACUAUGGUAACUUCUUUUCUUUAGUCUGGAUUAUGUGGAAGCUUAAGUCCUUUGCAGCCCUGAUGCCCACCAUGUUUCCAAUGCCUAGUAAACCCAGGACACAAAGCAGUAGGGUACAGAGAACAUCAGGUCCCAGUCCUGUCUGAGAUUAGGUCAUGCCAUUUUAUUAUUUUUUUUAAUGUUUUUUAAAAUUGAUUUUUAGAGAGAGAGGAAUGGAGAGGGAGUGUGAGGGAGCAUCCUCCCGGGCACCAAAAGGUUGCAGGUUCGAUUCCCAGUCAGGGCAUAAAUCUAGGUUGCAGGCUGGAUCCUAGUUGAAGCCUUCACAUUAAUCUCUCUCACAAUGAUGUUUCUUUCUUUCUCUCUCUCUCCCUCCCUCCCUUUCUCUCUAAAGCAGUGGUUCUCAACCUUCUGGCCCUUUAAAUACAGUUCCUCAUGUUGUGACCCAACCAUAAAAUUAUUUUCGUUGCUACUUCAUAACUGUAAUGUUGCUACUGUUAUGAAUCGUAAUGUAAAUAUCUGAUAUGCAGGAUGGUCUUAGGUGACCCCUGUGAAAGGGUCGUUUGACCGCCAAAGGGGUCGCGACCCACAGGUUGAGAACCGCUGCUCUAAAGUCAAUAAACAGCCCUGACCGGUUUGGCUCAGUGGAUAGAGUGUCGGCCUACGGACUCAAGGGUCCCAGGUUCAAUUCCGGUCAAGGGCAUGUACCUUGGUUGCGGGCACAUCCCCAGUAGGGGGUGUGCAGGAGGCAGCUGAUCGAUGUUUCUCUCUCAUCGAUGUUUCUAACUCUCCCUCUCCCUUCCUCUCUGUAAAAAAUCAAUAAAGUAUAUAUUUAAAAAAUUAAAGUCUAUAAACAUAUCCUUGGGUGAGGAUUUUUUUAAAAAAAGGUUGCUAGUAACAAUGUCUUUGGGGGGAAUUCUGCUGAACCCAACUCUUCUGUUUUAUAAUCUACUUCCUGAGAAUACAGUGGGAACAUUAACCCUUCCAAACUACACUAGGUAGUAUUUAUACUAUUUUAGCAAUUAUUUGUAAAAAGCUACCUCAAUGACCUGAAAGUACACAUGUGAAUCAAAAUUACUUAGAGGGCUCCAAAUGACUAAAUGAGUCAUCUUAACAUUCUUCCGCAAAGUUAUGGUCCAGGUGCCACACAAUCACCAUGAUUCUUUAUAGCCAAGGUUAUCUAAUGACUGAGUAGAAAUUAAGGGGCAUUGGGUGAUGGGAAAUGUUAUCUGUCCCAACUAAGAUAUGAAUAAUCCUGAGUCUGAAAAUGAUAUUUCAACUGCUUUCAGAUGUUUGCAUUUGAAAAUGCACAGUACCCACUUGUUGCCAAUUGCCUGGCAACUAUUUGGAGCUCUUAAAAAGGAAAUUAUAAUUAGUGUAUAUAUCAUAUUACAUUCACUUCAAAUAAGUACAGGAAUCUUACUUUUCCCUUAAUGUAAAUCUUUUCAAUUAAUCCAAUAAAUAAGUAUGUAAGAACAGUGGUUACUUAGUGAACCUUCACAUUAAAAUUUGUGAAUGAAAGAUUGCAGUGCCAAUAUUUUAAGUCCAGACUAAAGACAGAUAUGGCACAAUCUAAGUAAUAAUAAUGGCUACCACUUAUUGUGCACUUUCUAUGCGCUCAACACUAUUCCAGGCACUUUUAUUCAUUAUCUGUUUUGCUCAAAACAAUCUGUGAAGUGGGUAGUAUUAUCAUCACCCUUUUAGAGUAAGGGAACCGGAGCAUGGAGAGGUGAAGUAAUUUUGUGUGAAGACCCCCAUCUAAUAAAUGGUGACAGUGAGAUCGAACCCAGGUUUAUAUUAAAGAAGCACUCAACUAGCACAGGCUCUUGCUUCAGAAUGACCUCGGCCUCUUUAAGGGAGUAAAGAAUACUAGCUUAGGAAGACCUGCGGGGUGUCAGUUGGGGCUGGAUUUGGCCUAGCCACCUAACCUCACUGUGCUGUUCCUGUAAGGGAAAACGCGGACAGAAUACACUUCCUCACAGAAUUCUUUUUCAUAUGAAAAAACAGUAUGCAGAUACUCCAUAGAAGUACAGGACAACUCAGGGGUGAAGUAUUAAUACUAUUAAUAAAUUCAACUCCUAUUGCAGAUGUCAAAUGAACAUGAGAAGCAUCUAAUUUUCAGGCUUCUGUGUCUGACCACAUACAAAAAAUAGACAGUGAGGUCCUAACUUGCUUAUGUAUCUAUCAGACAUCUGCAUGGCAACAGCAGAGGGUGGUGAGUGUAAAAAGUUUUCAGCAUGUCAUCUCCCCGAGGGUCUUGGACGGUUCUUUUCCUUUUUUUUUUUCUCUUUCUUUUAAGGUCAGUUAUUUAGGGUAGUUAUUACUAAAGAAAUACUUUAGUCUUUAAAGACUAAAAGAGGGCGUGGGCUUUGGGAGAAGGCGAGGCCACAAGGGUCAGCUCAGUCCAUGUUGGGGUUUAGCUUUCCACUAACGUACUUCUACUCUCCGAACUCACUCUGUUCGUACAGCUUGCUUGUGGACACUAUUCCGUUCCUAGGCCCAGAGCCCCAGGAUAAGAAAUCUGCCACGUGUGAAGGAGUGUAUCUGGGAAGGAGUUCAGUGAGAUGGCUUAUCAAUCCCCACCAAUUCUUCCCAGCCACAGGCCCAAGAAAUGGUAAAUCAUGGUAACAACUACCAUCAAAUAACAUUGCUCUCUGUUAAGGGAACUGGACUACAUACUCUGAGUAAUCCCUCUCCUUUUCAUUGCAGAACCCAUUUUUUCAAGUGAAAUGUAACCUGGAAUCUCCCACUUCGGAGUCACCAUCCUCACAGUCACAAGCCUGGUGAAGAAGUUUCCAGCAGAGGAUGAGUCUGUUUCUGGGAGAGAAAAGAAUCUGAACCAGAGGACCGUUUUCAUUCUUGGCCUGGUCUCAGCUUGGGAACCAGUGGAAGGGAGCACAUGGUCAGGGGUGAGGGGAGGACCCAACCAGCACAACGUAAAGCUGCCCUGUCCUUUGGAGUUGAUUUUAAUUAUGUUUCACUAAGAACUGCCAAGAAUAAAAACAACGUCUUGUAUUAUUUUCCUAAUUCAAGUAAAAAAUGAUCGUUUUAAUUUUGGAUGGUUUUCAUUACCAGAAUUUUAAUGAUUAAAAAAAAUUAUUUUUUGCUACGUCAAAAAAAUUGAUGGUUCCUCAACACGCUUUACACACAACAGCAAGACUACAGGAUUGUAAAACAAACCAGCAAGAAGUGCAGGUCAGCCCUCACGCGCCUGAAGAAGGAGCGUAGUUCCGUAUGUCAUGCCUCUGCUCCCAUUCUGGCCACAGAAGGCACAAAGCACGAUGAUCACGUUCCCCUCUACUCUAUUCCCUUAGACUGGGAAUACCUUGGGUUCUGCAUCCAUGUCUGAUAGCAUUUUGUGCUGAAGCAGAGCAGACAAAAGAUUGUCAAGUCUGGAGUGAAGCAAAAUUCCAUACUUAUCAGUAGGCCACCUACAUACCCAGUCAAUACUGUCAAUGCUGCCUCUCACACAGACUUUGGAGGGUGAGGGCCAAAAUGGUACUAACCCACCCCAAAUGUCGGCUACAUUCCAGCAAAAAAAAAAAAAAAAGAA